GAAUUGCGAUAAGUAAUGUGAAUUGCAGAAUUCAGUGAAUCAUCGAAUCUUUGAACGCACCUUGCGCCCUCUGGUAUUCCGGAGGGCAUGCCCGGUUGAGUGUCAUGAAUAUCUCAAACCCAGUGCUUUGUUUGAAGGUCUCAUCGACUUGCUGCUGUUGCCUAGCGAGGCUUUGGCAGUCGUUGUGGGGCUGAAGCGCUGGGGCUUGGACUUGAGCCUGUGUUGGCCUUGCGUCGACUGGCUCGAAAUCUAUGAGCGAUGUGUGAUCCUUUGGGUCUGUCUCGGCGUGAUAAGUAUCACUCGCUGAGGACACCGUAAAAGGUGGCCGGGGUUGCAGACGAACCGCUUCUAAUCGUCCAUUCCCUUGGACAAUUUAUUUAUGAUCUGAUCUCAAAUCAGGUAGGACUACCCGCUGAACUUAAGCAUAUCAAUAAGCGGAGGAAAAGAAACUAACAAGGA
RNAcentral lists this ribosomal RNA (459 nucleotides) under uncultured Tulasnellaceae. RNAcentral describes it as "eukaryotic LSU rRNA". The stretch from base 1 to 105 matches the Rfam family "5.8S ribosomal RNA", at positions 50 to 154 of the family's 154-position model. The record is from RNAcentral. Lineage: Eukaryota; Fungi; Basidiomycota; Agaricomycetes; Cantharellales; Tulasnellaceae.